This 603-nucleotide ribosomal RNA is filed under the name uncultured bacterium. RNAcentral describes it as "bacterial SSU rRNA". It matches the Rfam family "Bacterial small subunit ribosomal RNA", at positions 98 to 687 of the family's 1533-position model. The record is from RNAcentral.
GCGAACGGGUGAGUAAUGCAUCGGAACAUGUCCAUUCGUGGGGGAUAGCCCGGCGAAAGCCGGAUUAAUACCGUAUACGCCCUGAGGGGGAAAGCGGGGGACCUGCAAGGGCCUCGCGCGAAUGGGUUGGCCGAUGUCCGAUUAGCUAGUUGGUGGGGUAAAGGCUUACCAAGGCGAUGAUCGGUAGCUGGUCUGAGAGGAUGAUCAGGCCACACUGGGACUGAGACAGGGUCCAUGACUCACUAACGGGAGGCAGCAGUGGGGAAUUCUCGGACAAUGGGGGAAACCCUGAUCCAGCCAUUCCGCGUGAGUGAAAAGGCCUUCGGGUUGUAAAGCUCUUUUGUCCGGAGCGAAACGGUUACGGGUGAUUAUCCGUGACUACUGACGGUCCCGGAAGAAUAAGCACCGGUAAUUACGUGCCAGCAGCCGCGGUUAAUACGUAGGGUGCGAGCGUUUAAUCGGAAUUACUUGGGCGUAAAGCGUGCGCAGGCGGUUUUGUAAGCCAGAUGUGAAAUCCCCGGGCUUAACCUGGGAAUGGCAUUUGGGACUGCAAGGCUUGAGUGCGGCAGAGGAGACUGGAAUUCCUGGUGUAGGCAGUGAAAU